RNAcentral lists this long non-coding RNA (1028 nucleotides) under Pogona vitticeps (central bearded dragon). RNAcentral's name for it is "lncRNA (ENSPVIG00000001323.1)". Lineage: Eukaryota; Metazoa; Chordata; Lepidosauria; Squamata; Agamidae. The record is from RNAcentral.
UAUUAUUAUUAACAGGCCUCCUGGUGAAUGAAUGGUCCGUGGAGGGGGGGGGGAAACCUCUUUCCGGAGUUGCCCUGGAGACAAUUCCACACAACGGUGACAAUUCCGCCAUAUAGCCAGCACUGUGGAGGAUGAUUCCACACAACGGUGACAAUUCCGCCAUAAUGCCAGCACUGUGGAGGAUGGGAUACCAUUUCCUCUGGAAGCGAAGAACCUGCUUUCUUGAUAGGGACCCUCUCCCUUCCACACAUGGUUUAAUGCUCUGUUUUGUUCUUUGUAGGCAGGGGAGAGGUUCAUUUCUGUUUGUUCUUUAGUUCAAGAAACCUGAAAUGACACUGGGCGGGGAAGUCAAGAGUCCGUAGUAAUGCAGAGAGUGCAACUACAGCAUGGGUAGCUACCACAAAAGGACUGAAAGAGAUCCUCACGUCAAGACUGGAAGAACUGGGGCAGAUGUGGAAGGUCCGCCCAACUCUCAUCCCAUUGCAGUGUACGGUGACUAUCUCACCCAUGAUGCCAAAGGGAGGAAAAGUCAUCAUGAACACACUGGGUUUCAGGAAGGAUACUUCCUACUCAGGAUACAAGGUUUUUGUUUCUCUUCAGGAAUGUUGAAGGGCGAGGAACAUGAAAUUAAAUGAUUAGCAAAGGGUGUGGAAGGGAUUGCAUGCUACUGAAAGGCAAACCAUGUCAUAAUCUUAAAAACAGGCCAUUCCUUGUUGAGUGCUACUGGUAUCAUACACAGCAUAGUAGAUCUCACUUCCUGUUUGAGGGCUUAGUCAAGAAGGAAAGAGCAACAGAACACACAACUGGCAAACCUAAAUCUCCUGUCAAAAACCAGGCACUUAGGUGAGCUCAAGCAUUUCCUAGUGGAGUUGUUAUCUAGUACUUCACCACCCCUGGAUGAAAGAGCAAUGGGCAUUCUCACACAGGACUUUGCUCAUUUGGAUUUCAAACAGAUGUUGCCUGGCGAUUAGAAGAGUCACUUCUGUGGACCGUGCCUCCUAGAAUAUCCCAGCCAGCAUGAUCAGUAU